RNAcentral lists this ribosomal RNA (497 nucleotides) under uncultured bacterium. RNAcentral's name for it is "partial 16S ribosomal RNA". It matches the Rfam family "Bacterial small subunit ribosomal RNA", at positions 28 to 507 of the family's 1533-position model. The record is from RNAcentral.
GAUGAACGCUGGCGGCGUGCCUAAUACAUGCAAGUCGAGCGAACGGGCGAGAAGCUUGCUUCUCUGAUGUUAGCGGCGGACGGGUGAGUAACACGUGGAUAACCUACCUAUAAGACUGGGAUAACUUCGGGAAACCGGAGCUAAUACCGGAUGAUAUUUUGAACCGCAUGGUUCAAAAGUGAAAGACGGUCUUGCUGUCACUUAUAGAUGGAUCCGCGCUGCAUUAGCUAGUUGGUAAGGUAACGGCUUACCAAGGCAACGAUGCAUAGCCGACCUGAGAGGGUGAUCGGCCACACUGGAACUGAGACACGGUCCAGACUCCUACGGGAGACAGCAGUAGGGAAUCUUCCGCAAUGGGCGAAAGCCUGACGGAGCAACGCCGCGUGAGUGAUGAAGGUCUUCGGAUCGUAAAACUCUGUUAUUAGGGAAGAACAUAUGUGUAAGUAACUGUGCACAUCUUGACGGUACCUAAUCAGAAAGCCACGGCUAACUACGUG